RNAcentral lists this ribosomal RNA (253 nucleotides) under uncultured bacterium. RNAcentral describes it as "partial 16S ribosomal RNA". It matches the Rfam family "Bacterial small subunit ribosomal RNA", at positions 524 to 776 of the family's 1533-position model. The record is from RNAcentral.
UACAGAGGUCUCAAGCGUUGUUCGGAAUCACUGGGCGUAAAGGGUGCGUAGGUGGCGUGGAAAGUCAGAUGUGAAAUCCGGAGGCUCAACCUCCGAAUUGCAUCCGAUACUCCCAUGCUAGAGAACUGGAGGGGAGUCUGGAAUUCUCGGUGUAGCAGUGAAAUGCGUAGAUAUCGAGAGGAGCACUAGUGGCGAAGGCGAGACUCUGGACAGUUUCUGACACUGAUGCACGAAGGUCAGGGGAGCAAACGGG